ACCUACGGGACGCAGCAGUAGGGAAUUUUCGUCAAUGGGCGCAAGCCUGAACGAGCAAUGCCGCGUGAACGAGGAAGGUCUUCGGAUCGUAAAGUUCUGUUGAAGGGGAAAAAGAGCGGAGAGAGGAAGUGCUUUCUGAUUGAUAUUACCCUUCGAGGAAGUCACGGCUAACUACGUGCCAGCAGCCGCGGUAAUACGUAGGUGGCGAGCGUUAUCCGGAAUGAUUGGGCGUAAAGGGUGCGUAGGCGGCCUGCUAAGUCUGGAGUGAAAGGUACCGGCCCAACCGGUACAGGCUCUGGAAACUG
This 305-nucleotide ribosomal RNA is filed under the name uncultured bacterium. RNAcentral's name for it is "bacterial SSU rRNA". It matches the Rfam family "Bacterial small subunit ribosomal RNA", at positions 337 to 635 of the family's 1533-position model. The record is from RNAcentral.